GAUGAACGCUGGCGGCGUGCCUAAUACAUGCCAGUCGAGCGAACAGACGAGGAGCUUGCUCCUCUGACGUUAGCGGCUGACGGGUGAGUAACACGUGGAUAACCUACCUAUAAGACUGGGAUAACUUCGGGAAACCGGAGCUAAUACCGGAUAAUAUAUUGAACCGCAUGGUUCAAUAGUGAAAGACGGCUUUGCUGUCACUUAUAGAUGGAUCCGCGCCGCAUUAGCUAGUUGGUAAGGUAACGGCUUACCAAGGCGACGAUGCGUAGCCGACCUGAGAGGGUGUUCGGCCACACUGGAACUGAGACACGGUCCAGACUCCUACGGGAGGCAGCAGUAGGGAAUCUUCCGCAAUGGGCGAAAGCCUGACGGAGCAACGCCGCGUGAGUGAUGAAGGUCUUCGGAUCGUAAAACUCUGUUAUUAGGGAAGAACAAAUGUGUAAGUAACUAUGCACGUCUUGACGGUACCUAAUCAGAAAGCCACGGCUAACUACGUG
This 497-nucleotide ribosomal RNA is filed under the name uncultured bacterium. RNAcentral describes it as "partial 16S ribosomal RNA". It matches the Rfam family "Bacterial small subunit ribosomal RNA", at positions 28 to 507 of the family's 1533-position model. The record is from RNAcentral.